GGGGCUUAACCCCGGUAUUGCAGUGGGUACGGGCAGACUAGAGUGCAGUAGGGGAGACUGGAAUUCCUGGUGUAGCGGUAAAAUGCGCAGAUAUCAGGAGGAACACCGAUGGCGAAGGCAGGUCUCUGGGCUGUAACUGACGCUGAGAAGCGAAAGCAUGGGGAGCGAACAGGAUUAGAUACCCUGGUAGUCCAUGCCGUAAACGUUGGGCACUAGGUGUGGGGGACAUUCCACGUUUUCCGCGCCGUAGCUAACGCAUUAAGUGCCCCGCCUGGGGAGUACGGCCGCAAGGCUAAAACUCAAAGGAAUUGACGGGGGCCCGCACAAGCGGCGGAGCAUGCGGAUUAAUUCGAUGCAACGCGAAGAACCUUACCAAGGCUUGACAUAUACUGGACCGCCUCAGAGAUGGGGUUUCCCUUCGGGGCUGGUAUACAGGUGGUGCAUGGUUGUCGUCAGCUCGUGUCGUGAGAUGUUGGGUUAAGUCCCGCAACGAGCGCAACCCUCGUUCUAUGUUGCCAGCACGCUAUGGUGGGGACUCAUAGGAGACUGCCGGGGUCAACUCGGAGGAAGGUGGGGAUGACGUCAAAUCAUCAUGCCCCUUAUGUCUUGGGCUUCACGCAUGCUACAAUGGCCGGUACAAAGGGUUGCGAUACUGUGAGGUUGAGCUAAUCCCAAAAAGCCGGUCUCAGUUCGGAUUGGGGUCUGCAACUCGACCCCAUGAAGUCGGAGUCGCUAGUAAUCGCAGAUCAGCAACGCUGCGGUGAAUACGUUCCCGGGCCUUGUACACACCGCCCGUCAAGUCACGAAAGUUGGUAACACCCGAAGCCGAUGGCCUAACCCUUUUGGGAGGGAGUCGUCGAAGGUGGGAUUGGCGAUUGGGACUAAGUCGUAACAAGGUACCAAUCCCGCGG
Molecule: ribosomal RNA, 911 nt
Filed under: uncultured Actinomycetes bacterium
Lineage: Bacteria; Bacillati; Actinomycetota; Actinomycetes
Description: bacterial SSU rRNA
Rfam family: Bacterial small subunit ribosomal RNA
Source: RNAcentral